RNAcentral lists this ribosomal RNA (310 nucleotides) under Aliarcobacter butzleri. RNAcentral's name for it is "bacterial SSU rRNA". It matches the Rfam family "Bacterial small subunit ribosomal RNA", at positions 1160 to 1476 of the family's 1533-position model. Lineage: Bacteria; Pseudomonadati; Campylobacterota; Epsilonproteobacteria; Campylobacterales; Arcobacteraceae. The record is from RNAcentral.
UAACUGGAGGAAGGUGGGGAUGACGUCAAGUCAUCAUGGCCCUUACGUCCAGGGCUACACACGUGCUACAAUGGGGUAUACAAAGAGCAGCAAUACGGUGACGUGGAGCAAAUCUCAAAAAUGCCUCCCAGUUCGGAUUGUAGUCUGCAACUCGACUACAUGAAGUUGGAAUCGCUAGUAAUCGUAGAUCAGCUAUGCUACGGUGAAUACGUUCCCGGGUCUUGUACUCACCGCCCGUCACACCAUGGGAGUUGAACUCAUUCGAAGCGGGGAUGCUAAAGUAGCUACCUUCCACAGUGGAUCAGCGACU